AGUAAAUGACUGGGUGCAAGAGCACCAGACCCGGUUGCACCUGGCUUUUGAAGGUGUUCGAGAAAGGUUAAAGGUCACAGCUGAGCGCCGAAAAAGGAACCAUGAUCAGACUGUUCGGUCACAGCCCCUGGUGGAGGGCCAGAUGGUGUUGGUGAGAGAUCUGGGCAGGAGAGGUCGUUGCAAGAUUCAGGAUAAGUGGAAUUCAGUUGUGCAUAGGGUGAUCAAGGCUCCCCCUGGAGAAGGUCCUGUGUAUACUGUGGCACCAUUAGAUGACCUCACCAAGGUCAAGCGGGUGCAUCGAACGUUGCUUAAGGCCGUGGUUGGGGUCGCUUCUCCGGGCAGCACUUCUGAUUCUCCUCCUAUUCCCCCGGGCCAGCUGGUGAUGCAAGACGAAUCAUCCGAUGAUGAUUUGUUGGUUUUGGUGAGGGAAACCCCUACCCCAUCCGCUGGCCGGAUGGCCAGAGAAACCCAAACAGCACCUGCAUUGGCACUGCCUGCCGCUGCAGUCGUACCUGUGCCCCCUCCCCAUUCUGUCCCUCUGGCAGUCACUCCCCCAGGGAUUAAUGAAACUGCCAUGCGGCGGACAGCCCGAUCCACGGCUGGCCAACAUCCCAACCCCCAUCGUCUUCCCAGGCCUGCCAAUGAAAUGGCUCAGGCGAGGCCUCCACCCGCCCAGUCCAACGCUGUGUCUGUUUUCUUCAGGCCCUGGCAUUGACCCUUAUAUCUUUUCAGCGCAUCGUCGGGUCGACGAUGAAAAAGGGGGGGGUGGAUUGUAGCAGUAUGCUGGGGCUGAUUGAAUUUAAGUCUGCCGCUCUGCACUUUACCUGGCGCUGUAGCCUAUUAACGUAGAGGGCGAGGGAAUAAAAGGGGGCCGUGUCCCUCUCUUGUCCUCUCACUUCCUGGCUCGAAGGCCCUCCCGCUUCCCGGCCUUCCGCUUCCUCCUUUGUACUCGAGACGGGUAGGUGCACGGCUGCAUUGUUUGCAAGUUGUUUCUUUUAGCUCUUAUUAGCCUCUGCAUUGAACUGUUUAACUUUGUGCGUAGUGGUCCAUUGUGGUUAAGGGGAUGGUGGCGAUUCUCCCUGUUUGCCAAAGACAUUAAAAGGACAAGCUGAUCCCGAACGCAUCACGCACCACAGACGCUCCAGUGAAGUACGGAGCGGUGCCGAGGCUCCUCGUCACUGUCCUCCUCGGAAGGGUUCCUGUUGUUCGGGACCCGUGGCUAACGGUGGAUAUAAAUUGCUGCGAGCCGACGGUGGUGGCGGUGUCCUGGGUGGUGGUUCCUCUUUGUGUGCUGUGAUUCUGGAUUUGGUUGCUUUGCACUUCACCUUUGUGUGUGUCACGUGAGCGUGGGGUGCCUUUUCUUGUUUUGGACUCCUUCCCCCCACAUUGUCCCUCACCGUUGGUGAGCCUCAGCUAUUGGAGCAGGGUGUUAAUUAUUAGUUCGGUCGUGAACUACCCUUUUUAACUUGUGAGACCAACUUCCAAUAAACGUGUUCAUUAUUUUUGCUACCGUGAACCACGUCUCCUGCCCUUCCUUGUAUUACUUACCUGUGUGCCUUCCUUUAUAGUUAUAUUUAUUUACAAUUCCCUGGGUGCAAUUCCCAGGGUGGCGUUGUUGGUUUCUUUGUCCUAAAUUUAAUAAUCGUAGUAUAACAUUCUGAGCCCUCGCAUCGCCACAAAA
This is a long non-coding RNA of Seriola aureovittata, 1681 nucleotides long. RefSeq lists it as uncharacterized. The transcript is spliced from 3 exons. NCBI's taxonomy places the organism in Eukaryota, Metazoa, Chordata, Actinopteri, Carangiformes, Carangidae. The record is from RefSeq and is a predicted model, not a curated record.